GACGAACGCUGGCGGCGUGCCUAAUACAUGCAAGUCGAACGCUUCUUUCCUCCCGAGUGCUUGCACUCAAUUGGCACGAGGAGUGGCGGACGGGUGAGUACCACGUGGGUAACCUACCCAUCAGAGGGUGAUAACACUUGGCAACAGGUGCUAAUACCGCAUAACAGUUUAUGCCGCAUGGCAUAAGAGUGAAAGGCGCUUUCGGGUGUCGUUGGUGGAUGGACUCGCGGUGCAUUAGCUAGUUGGUGAGGUAACGGCUCACCAAGGCCACGAUGCAUAGCGGACCUGGGAGGGUGAUCGGCCACACUGGGACUGAGACACGGCCCAGACUCCUACGGGAGGCAGCAGUAGGGAAUCUUCGGCAAUGGACGAAAGUCUGACCGAGCAACGCCGCGUGAGUGAAGAAGGUUUUCGGAUCGUAAAACUCUGUUGUUAGAGAAGAACAAGGACGUUAGUAACUGAACGUCCCCUGACGGUAUCUAACCAGGAAGCCACGGCUAACUACGUG
Molecule: ribosomal RNA, 508 nt
Filed under: uncultured bacterium
Lineage: Bacteria
Description: partial 16S ribosomal RNA
Rfam family: Bacterial small subunit ribosomal RNA
Source: RNAcentral